This 527-nucleotide long non-coding RNA is filed under the name Arabidopsis thaliana (thale cress). RNAcentral's name for it is "long non-coding RNA (ATHA_LNC000288)". Lineage: Eukaryota; Viridiplantae; Streptophyta; Magnoliopsida; Brassicales; Brassicaceae. The record is from RNAcentral.
UAGAGGUGAAAGCGGGGGAGAAGUUGGUGGAGUUCUUGGUGGGGGCAUUGGUGGUGCACGAGGAGGAGAACUCGGUGGAGUUCUUGGGGGAGAUAUUGGUGGUGCACGCGGAGGAGAAGUUGGUGGAGUUCUUGGCGGGGAUAGAGGUGGUGCACGCGGAGGAGAAGUUGGUGGAGUUAUAGGGGGAGAUAGCGGUGGUGUACGUGGAGGAGAAGUUGGUGGAGUUCUUGGCGGGGAUAGUGGUGGGGCACGUGGAGGAGCUGUCGGUGAAAUUCUUGGAGGAGGAACUGGUGGUGCUCGUGGAGGAGAAGUUGGUGGAGUUCUUGGAGGAGAAUUUGGUGGAGUUCUUGGCGGGGAUAGUGGUGGUGCACGAGGAGGAGAAGUCGGUGGAGUAUUAGGAGGAGGAACCGGUGGUGCACGUGGAGGAGAAGUUGGUGGAGUUCUUGGCGGGGAUAGUGGUGGUGCACGGGGAGGAGAAGUCGAUGGAGUUCUUGGAGGAGGAAUUGGUGGUGCACGUGGAGGAGAAG